GCCUAACAUAACUGCCUCCAUGUUAACAUCUGAGUCACCUCACUGGCACAGACAUGCCGAUGACUGUACUAAUGGCCUUGCUCAUUUAAUGACCUAAUCUGUUACAUAACAACUGUAUCUCAUCAUAACUGUUACUGUACAAUAUGUUUCUCCUUUAUCAUUUUAUGAUUAGCUACUUCCUCUUACAAUUUUGUGUUUUUUGCCUUUAUAUACUGCUUGUGCCUGCAAAUAAAUGAGACCUUGACAAACCUCUGCUUGGUCUCCUUCUUUCUGCACCUCUUUUGUCCCAUUUCCAGGUAUCUCCCCUUCUCGAGCUUUGCUAAUUACAAGCCCUGCUGGCUGGGGCAAGUGGCGCCCAACGUGGGGCUCGAGACACGGGGUCUUCACCUGGUGGAUGCUGCUCGGAAGAUCAGCCGAUCGACCCCAGGACCUCGGCCCAGUUGGCGAGUUUGGCUCUGCGUACAGUCCGCUCAGACCCACACAUCUGAGAAAGCGACCUAUGAGGUAUUCUCCCUUCUCUUCUGCUCCACCUACUUAUGGUUGUAGAUAUGUUUAUAGACCUACCACUAUCCCUGAACAGCUUGACACUGGGUUUCCACUGAGGAGACUGGAUUGGGACCCCAACACUGAAGCAGCAGAGAAAACUCCAGGAUGUGUCUCGGUGCACAAGUGGAAAUCUCAUUCCAAAAAGCAAAGUUUCCUUUCUUUAUCCAGAAUGAGGAUUUAUGGGACUGGUCAUUUCGAAAUUCCACAAACUUAAGCUUAUCUGCAGGACUUUAGAAAACAGAUUCACAUUUUCCUCAAACCAACAUUUGGAAACCUGCUGCUGCAUUGGGAGAAAUACGCUUAUUGUCAGAUGUCAAAGUUACUAGCCUUAGUUUGAAUGUUUUUGGCAUGGGGCCUCUAAUAUGUGAAAUAUCAUAAAUACUGUGUUAUCUCAAAUCAAGUUUAUAUACAGCGCAAAACAUUACAUGUGCUCUUGGCCCUUAAAGAAGGUUCCUCCGAAAAUUUGGGUAUUUACCUCGCUCAGAUAAAAAGAGAGCUUCAAUGAGGGUCCAGAAAGUCAAAGACGGGUAAGAGGAAAAGUUUUGACUGAUCAACCUAAGACAGGGGCUUCUGUUAAAUCUUCAUCAUGUUAUAGACCUAUAAAACAGAUGACCCCAAUGACGGAUAAGACAGCCAAACGCUUUUCCCAACCUAAGACAGGCUCGGACAUACCCUUGAAAAACAUCAAAAUUUAUAAAAACAAAGGAGGAAUUAUUGGGCGCUGGCCUGCGAGCUGGCAGGAAUGCUGUCAUCCUAAGCUAAGUGGAACCAUUUUAGAGUUAAAUUUCUGUUUUAGUGACUAAGUUUCUGUUUCCUAAGACUGUAGUUCCUUAUCUUUGUUACCCAGCCAUUAUAAUUGCCAAGGUUACUAUUACCCAUGAUAGUUUAUGUUUAUGCCUAUUUCUUCUUAUCUUGCUAGACAUUUUGUGCUGCUCUGAAGUUUCUCAAACUUAACAACCUUCGAGUUUUUUGAGUCAUAUGAUGUUUUAUGACUUCCUGACUCUAUAGAAGUUCCUAAUGCUUGUUUUAGUUCAGAUAAGAUUGUUAUGGUAUUAUCAUGUCCCCUCCUCUUAGAUUUAUGUUUUUUUUGCUUUAAAAGUCUGACAAUGGCCCAACCUUCAUGGCUAAAGUGUCUAAACUAAUUAGCCUAAGCAUUGUAAUUAGAUGGAAUUUACAUUGUGCUUACAGACCUCAAAGUUCAGAACAGAUAGAAAGAACUAACAGAACACUAAAAGAGAUUUUAACUAAAUUGAGCCUAGAGACUGAAUUAAAUUGGGUGGAGCUUCUCCCUUUUGCUCUGUUGCGUAUUCGAUGUACUCCCAAGCCUCCUCUGAAUCUGUCUCGCCCUUCAAGAAAAAUGUUGUUUUUAUGCAAAUAAGUCUGGUAUUGUCAGGGAUAAAAUUAAAACCUUACAGGAAGAUUUAGAAAAGCACAGAAAAGAAUUAUAUGAAAAUCCUUUCUGGACUGGGCUCAAUGGAUUUUUGCCUUAUCUCUUCCCUUUACUAGGGCCUUUAUUAGGGCUCUUAAUAUUAUUAACUAUAGGGCCUCUAUUAUUUAAUAAACUCAUGGCCUUUAUCAAACAACAGAUAGAUAUCAUGCAAGCUAAGUCCAUCCAAAUUCAUUACCAUCACCUCAAUCUACUUGAUCAAGGCUAUCCAGAGGAGGAUUGUCCACCUGACUCCUGCUAAGGAAUAAUCUCCUUUAAGUCCUGCUAAACCUCCUUCGGAACCUGUCAGUACCCAGAGCUGACAUAUCCCAAAGCAGAUAUAGGCACCUACAGAGGCCCGGGACAAAGUACCCGGGGAAGGAUAAGACAAACUUGUUUGUCUUUCUGGGUCCUUUGAGGAGCAAGCCUGGUUGCAUAGGGGCUGAUGCCUAAAGUCCAAAAAACAUUUGUGACAGCCCCUCCCCGAAAAUCGGCAUCAAAAAGAACUCGGGGAUCCGGCCUCUACUCCCCCUCUAUGGUUAAAGCCUACUGACAAGAUCAGGACACCUGGGAUGGUCUUUCUAAACUAAUUGGCCUCCGCUCCUGGCUUGCGUGAUAUAUAUCUCUUCAUUUUUUACUGUAAAAAGGGAGGAGAUGUAGGAGACCAAAUAUUUAUACUCUGAGAGUUGUUUUUGAGCCUAACAUAACUGCCUCCAUGUUAACAUCUGAGUCACCUCACUGGCACAGACAUGCCGAUGACUGUACUAAUGGCCUUGCUCAUUUAAUGACCUAAUCUGUUACAUAACAACUGUAUCUCAUCAUAACUGUUACUGUACAAUAUGUUUCUCCUUUAUCAUUUUAUGAUUAGCUACUUCCUCUUACAAUUUUGUGUUUUUUGCCUUUAUAUACUGCUUGUGCCUGCAAAUAAAUGAGACCUUGACAAACCUCUGCUUGGUCUCCUUCUUUCUGUGCCUCUUUUGUCCCAUUUCCAGGUAUCUCCCCUUCUCGAGCUUUGCUAAUUACAAGCCCUGCUGGCUGGGGCAUUGGAAUAUCUAAGAAUGUAAUCACAAAAUUUUCUGAAAACUGGAGCCAGGGAUGGUGGCAAAAACCUGUAAUCACAACCACUUGAGAGGCUAAGGCAGGAGGAUACCAAGAUGGAG
Long non-coding RNA from Fukomys damarensis (Damara mole-rat), 3132 nucleotides. Lineage: Eukaryota; Metazoa; Chordata; Mammalia; Rodentia; Bathyergidae. The record is from Ensembl.